ACAGCAGCAGCCGCGGUAAAACGGAGGGGGCUAGCGUUGUUCGGAAUUACUGGGCGUAAAGCGCACGUAGGCGGCUUUGUAAGUUAGAGGUGAAAGCCCGGAGCUCAACUCCGGAAUUGCCUUUAAGACUGCAGAGCUAGCAGGUGAGAGAGGUGAGUGGAAUUCCGAGUGUAGAGGUGAAAUUCGUAGAUAUUCGGAAGAACACUAGUGGCGAAGGCGGCUCACUGGCUCAUACUGGACGCUGAGGUGCGAAAGCGUGGGGAGCAAACAGGAUUAGAUACCCCCGUAGUCCCUGUCUCUUAUAC
Molecule: ribosomal RNA, 305 nt
Filed under: uncultured bacterium
Lineage: Bacteria
Description: partial 16S ribosomal RNA
Rfam family: Bacterial small subunit ribosomal RNA
Source: RNAcentral